This 261-nucleotide ribosomal RNA is filed under the name Paenibacillus sp. MYb67. RNAcentral describes it as "partial 16S ribosomal RNA". It matches the Rfam family "Bacterial small subunit ribosomal RNA", at positions 1 to 246 of the family's 1533-position model. Lineage: Bacteria; Bacillati; Bacillota; Bacilli; Caryophanales; Paenibacillaceae. The record is from RNAcentral.
CUUUAUUGGAGAGUUUGAUCCUGGCUCAGGACGAACGCUGGCGGCAUGCCUAAUACAUGCAAGUCGAGCGGACUUGAAGAGAAGCUUGCUUCUCUGAUAGUUAGCGGCGGACGGGUGAGUAACACGUAGGCAACCUGCCCUCAAGUUUGGGACAACUACCGGAAACGGUAGCUAAUACCGAAUAAUUGUUUUCUUCGCCUGAAGAGAACUGGAAAGACGGAGCAAUCUGUCACUUGGGGAUGGGCCUGCGGCGCAUUAGCU